Penaeus vannamei (Pacific white shrimp) is the source of this 203-nucleotide non-coding RNA. The record is from RefSeq and is a predicted model, not a curated record. NCBI's taxonomy places the organism in Eukaryota, Metazoa, Arthropoda, Malacostraca, Decapoda, Penaeidae.
AUAACAUCACAAGCCGAGCUGGUCUGCUGGACGCGAUACUCUCUCUCCAGAAUGAAGCUGUGCGCCGUGCUCGUGGGGCUGUGCUGCCUCGCCCUCGCUCCGACAGGGACCCAGGCCUCCAGCGUGAAGGAGCGAGUCAAGAGGGACGGGGGAGUCAUCACUGCUGCCCUCAUCGGCGCCGGCGCCAAGACUCGUGUCCGGCA